Molecule: non-coding RNA, 27 nt
Filed under: Homo sapiens (human)
Lineage: Eukaryota; Metazoa; Chordata; Mammalia; Primates; Hominidae
Source: RNAcentral
UGCAGAUACAGCAAUGGAAGCAGAUGC